This is an RNA transcript of Pan troglodytes (chimpanzee), 2932 nucleotides long. RefSeq lists it as uncharacterized. The transcript is spliced from 16 exons. The record is from RefSeq and is a predicted model, not a curated record. Lineage: Eukaryota; Metazoa; Chordata; Mammalia; Primates; Hominidae.
CGAGCGUCUCUAGAUCUCGUAUUUGAAUUUGUGGCGCUUGGUGUCCGCGAGUUGCCGAAUGAAGCUGAGCGUCUCAGUGGAACCAGGGAUCUCAGGGCAGUAGAAAACGGAUGAACACACCUAGAUUUCUUCCCGCGUGAAUCCAGUUGAUACAGAUAAGCUGAUUCUAAAACCUACAAGAAUGGCAAAGAAACAAGAAGAGCUUAAACUGCAAUCAUCAACAGAGAAGCCUUCUGCAACCAAAGUGAAGACUGAAGCCCUAGGCUAUGGCAGAAGUUGGGCGCCUGAAGUACACAUGGAAAUAUGCCAACUGAACAUUGGACUAUCACCGCCUGCCCCUGGCUCAGCGCCCGGUGCCAACAGAACACCUUUCAGGAUCCACAGCAACGCAGACAACAUUUUAAAGCACCUGAUGGAUUUGGAAAAUAUUUAAUGAAGACAAUGAUGCUGACAUCUCAAGUUAAAAGGUUCUACAGAGAAGGCAAAGAUUUUGAAGGCACAGGAGACUAUCAUAGAUAUUCACAACGGCAUCUCCCUAAAGGAUUUGAAAGCUUUGCAUCAACCAAAGGAAAAGCACCAGUGAGAGUCAAGAUACAGUUCUAGACAGAUGUAAUUGGUUAAGAUGAGAUCAUACUGGAUGUGGACGGGUCCUAGAUCUGACUGCUGAUAUCCUUAUAAGAAGAAGAAAGGACACGCGGAGACUACAGUGAUGUUGCCACAAGCCAAGAAAUGCCAAGAAUUUCGGGAGCCACCAGAAGAUGGAAGAGGCAGGGAAAAAUCCUCCCCUAAAGCCUUCAGAGAGAGCAUAGCUCUGCCAACACCUUGAUUCUGGACAUCUAGCCUCUUAAACUUCCUCAGGUGUCUCAUUUCUUCUGUCUCAGAAGUCAUGGAUGUCAAUGAAGAUAUGGAAUUCACUUAUUCAUUCUUAUAAAUAUUACUUAGUGUCCUUGUGCUUGGCACUGUGCUUGGUCAUUGAGAUCUACUGUUCAAAAGCAAGAUAACAUACAGGCUGGAACAGCGAGAUGCAAGAAUCCCAAGCCUUCAAAGCCAGCUCCUGCAGAAGAGAGAGGGCCUGGCAGCUGAGCUGGAUGCUUCAGGAGCAGAGGAUCUAUCAACUGCAGACCAAGCAUAGGGAGACGCAGGCAAACCUGGAACAGUAACCCAGCCAGCUCCAAUUGCUCCGACAGUACUUGGUGGCCAGAGAGUCGGCAGCAGAAAGCAUGCCCCGGGCCGUGAAGCAGGAAAUCGACUCUGACUCAAUCCUUGAGGUCUGAGCUGCCUUAACAAAGACAGAAGAUGUGACAGAUCGAGCUGCAUCUCCUUGGAUUUCCUUGGCAUCACUUGAACAUGCAAGGGCCAAAAGAAAGGAAGGAAAGGCAGAGAAAACAAAAGCUCAGCUGGAAGACACUGAAAUGGAGGCACCUACUUUCAAGCCCAGACUUUAAGAGAGGAAAUACUGAGAAGACAGGAAGCCUCACAGAGAAAGUAACCUUGUGGCCAGAUCUUGAAAGAUGAACAGGUGUUUACAGCUGGAGAAAGAGGAGUGAUGAGAGGGGACUGGGGAAGUUGUCACCUCAAGCAGAAGGGACAGCAGGUGUGAGGACAUUAAGGCACGAAAUACGUGACUGAAAUGGCAGCACCUAUCCAUAUGAGAUGACUGUCUCUUUGACAUCAAGCUUGGUAAGACUUUCUUUUGCCAGUGAAAUGUGGGUAUAAGUGAGGUGUACAACUUGCCAGCAGAAGCUUACACAGCCAUGUUAUGGUUUGAUCAUCGUUUUGUUUUGUUUUGUUUUUCCCCCAAAGUGGGGGUUUCAGUCACUUUGUCCAACUGAAAACAUUUAGUGGGUACUGCCAAAUCAAUUCAGAGAUUACAGCAGAAGGAAUGAUGGCCUUAAUCUUGAUCAUGUCUUGGGUGUGGGGCUUUUAAAAAAAUGAGCCUUAUUACUAAAGGCAUUUCUCAAUUUUAUCUUUUGCUGGUUGGAAAUUAAAAAUAGUUACAUUUUUCAAUCUCACUUACAAACUAGCAAGUUCCUUUGAGCUCUCUCUUUCUUGUAGUACCUUGUUAAAUGUAGCCAACAGAAACUAAGACACACUAGUAACAUUUUGUUUCCUAUCCUCUUCACUUAAGUUUACAAGUUCAUUAAGUACAUGAUCUGCCUUCCUGGAAAAACCAGACUUAAACAAUGCAACUUUUGAAUUCAAAAACAGAGAAAUAGCAGAAUAUGCAUUUGACAAAAUCUAAUACCCAUUCAUGAUAAAAACAGUCAACAAACUAGGAAUAGUAGAAAAAUUCCUCAACCCAAAAAAACAGCAUUUACAAAAACCCCAAAAUUAAUAUCGUAUUUAGUGGUGAAAGACUAAAUGCAUUCCCCCUAAGAUCAGGAACAAGAGAAAACAUCUACUCUCAUCAUUUCUAUUCAGCCUUGUAUUGGAGAUCUAGUGAUGAUAAUGAGGCAAGAAAAACAAUUAAAAGCUUCCAGAUUGGAAAGGAAGAAGGGAUACUCACUUUAUUUUUAGAUGGCAUGAUCUUGAAUGUAGAAAAUCUUAAGCAAUCCAUAUAAAAGCAACUCUUACAACUAGUGAACAAGUUCAGCAGUGUUGCACGACACAAGAUCAAUAGGCAAAAAAUCAAUUGUAUUUCUAUACAGUAGCAAUAAACAAUCCAAAAAUGAAAUUAAGAAAACAAUUCCAUUUAUAAUAGUAUUUUUUUAAACUUGGGAAUAAAUUUAAUAAAAGAAGUUCAAGACUUGUAACUGAAAACUGCAAAUCAUUUUGAAAGAAAUUAAAGACCUAAAUAAAUGGUCAUGGAUUGGAAGACAGCUGUCAAGAUGACAGUAUUUCCCAAAGUGAUCUACAGAUUCAACACAAUCCCUAUCAAAAUCCCAGGUGCUUGAUUUCAGAAAUUGAUAUGCUGAUACUAAUAUGCGUACAG